UUCUGUGUGCAUCAACAGUAUCGUAGCCGAUGAGGUUUAAUCGAGACGUGAUUAUUGCUUAUUGAAAACUUUUCCCGAUACCCUGCUUUGAUGACUUGAAAUAUAACUGGCAAUGGCAAUUUUUGACAGUUCCAGUGGGAA
This is a small nuclear RNA of Carcharodon carcharias (great white shark), 141 nucleotides long. RefSeq annotates it as U4 spliceosomal RNA. The record is from RefSeq and is a predicted model, not a curated record. The transcript has a single exon. Lineage: Eukaryota; Metazoa; Chordata; Chondrichthyes; Lamniformes; Lamnidae.